This 236-nucleotide unclassified non-coding RNA is filed under the name uncultured Ascomycota. RNAcentral's name for it is "sequence contains ITS2". Lineage: Eukaryota; Fungi; Ascomycota. The record is from RNAcentral.
AACGCACAUUGCGCCCCUUGGUAUUCCGGGGGGCAUGCCUGUUCGAGCGUCAUUAUAACCCUCAAGCCUCGCUUGGUGUUGGAGCCUGCGACCUCGCAGCUCUUAAAAUCAGUGGCAGUGCCCUUCGGCUCUAAGCGUAGUAAUUCUUCUCGCUAUAGGGUCUGGAGGGUCCGCGCCAGAACCCCCAACUUUCUAUGGUUGACCUCGGAUCAGGUAGGGAUACCCGCUGAACUUAA